RNAcentral lists this unclassified non-coding RNA (949 nucleotides) under Hevea brasiliensis (rubber tree). Lineage: Eukaryota; Viridiplantae; Streptophyta; Magnoliopsida; Malpighiales; Euphorbiaceae. The record is from RNAcentral.
UUUCUCCUUACUAAAUUAGGGUUUUAGCUUUUGUUCUGUCAAUUUUUAUUUUUCUGCCAAAGUUAUGGUUUCCAUUGAUGUAGUUGGACAAAACCAGGAAAUUGUACUGAAAAAUCUAAUACAAGCUGUAUUGGACUCGCCAGGCUUUAAGAAGCUGUCAUCUUUUAGGUCAAAUUUCGAGGAAUUACUACAACGUAGCGUCGACCCACCUUUUGAAGCUAUCUGGGUUCACUCAGCUUUACGUUAUCGAGGUUUCAGUUCGACAGAAAAUGACCUUUUCAAAAGACUAGCAGCCGUAAAGGGUUUGUUUCAGCUUAUAGUUUCUUCUUCUGUUUCAUGUGAUUUCUUUAAAAGCAUUGCAUUAAUUGCACCUGUUAUGUAUAAUGUGUUUGGGUUGGUAAUGGGUUUAAAAGGUUUUCAGCAGAAAGCUAAGAAAGAGAAGAAGUUUGUGAGAGAGGUAAAUGGAUUGGUUGAUUCAAUUCUUGGGUAUGUUAAUGUAUGCUGUGAGGGUGUAGAGGAUAGAUGCGAUGUUUCAGAGGGCUUCCUUAGGCCAGUGAGGGAGUUAGUGACUGUUUGGAUGUGGGAUAAGUCAUUGGAAAAUACUGGGGAUAAGGGAUGCAUGAGAGCUUUUUUUCCACUUCUGACUGAUGAGAUUAUUGAAAGGGUUAAUGCUGAAGGGUGUGAGCUAAGUGCAUUGGCUGGUUGUGUGAUUGCGGAGGCAUUUUUAUUGAAGUUAUGCUUGAGGUUUCUGGAGGAUGGUUCCCGCAAAGAAUUACAGGACGAAUUGAGGGCAUGGAUCAUUGCUUCCAUCACUGGGCUUCAGAAUCCAUACUUCUUUGAGACCCUUUUAAUGAUGCUGCUGGAGCCAUCUUUUCCAAAAGCCUCCCUACUGAAUUCGGAUGAUGAGAAGUGCUUAAGAAACAUCCUCUAUGAUGCCGUGGUACUGGUG